AACGCAGCGAAGGGCGAUAAGUAAUGUGAAUUGCAGAAUUCAGUGAAUCAUCGAAUCUUUGAACGCACAUUGCGCCCCUUGGUAUUCCGAGGGGCAUACCUGUUCGAGCGUCAUUGCAAAACUCAAGCUCAGCUUGGUAUUGGGCACUCGUCCCGAGCGGACGUGCCUUAAAGGCCUCGGCAGCGUUGGCCCGGCUUCAGGCGUAGCAGAAACCCUCGCCUUGGAAGCCGCGGUCCCGCUCGCCGUAAAGCUCCCCUUCCAUCAAGGUUGACCUCGGAUCAGGUAGGGAUACCCGCUGAACUUAA
Molecule: ribosomal RNA, 305 nt
Filed under: uncultured fungus
Lineage: Eukaryota; Fungi
Description: eukaryotic LSU rRNA
Rfam family: 5.8S ribosomal RNA (bases 1-113)
Source: RNAcentral